This is a long non-coding RNA of Leguminivora glycinivorella, 530 nucleotides long. RefSeq lists it as uncharacterized. NCBI's taxonomy places the organism in Eukaryota, Metazoa, Arthropoda, Insecta, Lepidoptera, Tortricidae. The transcript is spliced from 3 exons. The record is from RefSeq and is a predicted model, not a curated record.
AACUUCACUACUCUAGUGUCUCAACUAUAAUAAUAUUUACUAGUCUUUGCUGUAGCCUUAAAUUGAGUGACCAUUGCAUGUUCUUAAUAAUAUAUUAUGAGUCUUAAAAAAGCAAUUCAUCUUAAACACUUUCGCUCCAAUGCUGUGCUUGAAGUAUUAGAACGAUGGAUUUACAAUAUUACUUAUGCUUCUUUAGAAAAGCCUCUCCUGACUACCUUAAUAACAAUGACUGCUAGUGUGAUAUUUCUAGCAAUAAUGUUAAUACUUGCAGUAAUUUUUGCUGGUGUGAUAUGUCUCACAAGUAUUAUUUUGUUAAUUGAAGGGUUUUUGCUAGUGGUGAUGAUAAUUGCAGUUAGUUUAAUUACAAUGAUUGGUUCAUACAUUUAUGUCGUUGGCAUUACCUUAACUCUUUAUUUCAAAGCUGAAAGUAAAGAAGCCUACGGCAGAAAUAAAAUGGCUUAACUUCAAAGUUUUUAUUGUCUUUAAUAUUACUUGUAUUUUUCGUAUAGUAAUUAAAUAACUUUUGGAAA